CCUACGGGGGGCAGCAGUGAGGAAUAUUGGUCAAUGGGCGAGAGCCUGAACCAGCCAAGUCGCGUGAGGGAAGACGGCCCUACGGGUUGUAAACCUCUUUUGUCAGGGAGCAAGGUGCAGGUCGGGACCUGCUGUGAGAGUACCUGAAGAAAAAGCAUCGGCUAACUCCGUGCCAGCAGCCGCGGUAAUACGGAGGAUGUGAGCGUUAUCCGGAUUUAUUGGGUUUAAAGGGUGGGCAGGCGGGGGGACAAGUCAGCGGUAAAAUCGCGGGGCUCAACCCCGCCCCGCCGUUGAAACUGUGUCCCUUGAGUGAGCGAAGGGUAGGCGGAAUGCGUGGUGUAGCGGUGAAAUGCAUAGAUAUCGCGCAGAACUCCGAUCGCGAAGGCAGCCUACCGGCGCGCAACUGACGCUCAUGCACGAAGGCGUGGGUAUCGAACGGGAUUAGAUACCCGUGUAGUC
RNAcentral lists this ribosomal RNA (459 nucleotides) under uncultured bacterium. RNAcentral's name for it is "partial 16S ribosomal RNA". It matches the Rfam family "Bacterial small subunit ribosomal RNA", at positions 338 to 795 of the family's 1533-position model. The record is from RNAcentral.